Molecule: ribosomal RNA, 424 nt
Filed under: uncultured bacterium
Lineage: Bacteria
Description: partial 16S ribosomal RNA
Rfam family: Bacterial small subunit ribosomal RNA
Source: RNAcentral
GAAUUUUGGACAAUGGGCGAAAGCCUGAUCCAGCCAUGCCGCGUGAGUGAAGAAGGCCUUCGGGUUGUAAAGCUCUUUCGGCGGGAACGAAAUAGCGCGGGCGAAUAUCCCGCGUCGAUGACGGUACCCGAAGAAGAAGGACCGGCUAACUACGUGCCAGCAGCCGCGGUAAUACGUAGGGUCCAAGCGUUAAUCGGAAUUACUGGGCGUAAAGCGUGCGUAGGCGGCUUCGCAAGUCCGAUGUGAAAUCCCCGGGCUUAACCUGGGAACUGCGUUGGAAACUAUGAAGCUAGAGUGCGGCAGAGGGGGGUGGAAUUCCAGGUGUAGCAGUGAAAUGCGUAGAUAUCUGGAGGGACACCGAUGGCGAAGGCAGCCCCCUGGGCCAGCACUGACGCUCAUACACGAAAGCGUGGGGAGCAAACAG